UGAAGCCUUUCCAGAGCUACCAAGAAUGUCACUUCAUUCACUUCCAGGCUGAGGAGGAAGAGAGAUGGAGGAGGACCCGGGCACACAAGCUACAAUGAAAGUCGACUAGCAGGUUUCAGCUGAAGACAUAUCUAAAAUGCUCUGAAAUGGUUCAGCACAAGUCUUUCUGGUCUCUUCUCAAAAGCAGGAAAUGAUGACAUUUGGCAUAUCUCUGUUCUGUCCUGGAAUGCCCAUCACCAGAUUUUUGUGUAGCCCAGAAUGAUCCCCUUUAGUGGAAGAAGAAGAAAGAAGAGGAGAAGAAAGAGGGGAGGAAGAAAUAUCCUUAUCAUUAAAGCCUAAUCAGCUUGUUUUUCUGUAACAUCUUACUGGUAAGGGUUGAGAGUGUACUGGGACUUAAUUUUUCUUUUAAAUGGAUCUGUCACCUACCCUUGUGGAGAUGGUAAAGGAUAGAUGC
This is a long non-coding RNA of Prionailurus viverrinus (fishing cat), 454 nucleotides long. RefSeq lists it as uncharacterized. The record is from RefSeq and is a predicted model, not a curated record. Lineage: Eukaryota; Metazoa; Chordata; Mammalia; Carnivora; Felidae. The transcript has 3 exons.